GCGGGACACGUGGUAUCCUGUCUGAAUAUGGGGGGACCAUCCUCCAAGGCUAAAUACUCCUGACUGACCGAUAGUGAACCAGUACCGUGAGGGAAAGGCGAAAAGAACCCCGGCGAGGGGAGUGAAAAAGAACCUGAAACCGUGUACGUACAAGCAGUGGGAGCCUCUUAAUGGGGUGACUGCGUACCUUUUGUAUAAUGGGUCAGCGACUUAUAUUCUGUAGCAAGGUUAACCGAAUAGGGGAGCCGAAGGGAAACCGAGUCUUAACUGGGCGUUAAGUUGCAGGGUAUAGACCCGAAACCCGGUGAUCUAGCCAUGGGCAGGUUGAAGGUUGGGUAACACUAACUGGAGGACCGAACCGACUAAUGUUGAAAAAUUAGCGGAUGACUUGUGGCUGGGGGUGAAAGGCCAAUCAAACCGGGAGAUAGCUGGUUCUCCCCGAAAGCUAUUUAGGUAGCGCCUCGUGAAUUCAUCUCCGGGGGUAGAGCACUGUUUCGGCAAGGGGGUCAUCCCGACUUACCAACCCGAUGCAAACUGCGAAUACCGGAGAAUGUUAUCACGGGAGACACACGGCGGGUGCUAACGUCCGUCGUGAAGAGGGAAACAACCCAGACCGCCAGCUAAGGUCCCAAAGUCAUGGUUAAGUGGGAAACGAUGUGGGAAGGCCCAGACAGCCAGGAUGUUGGCUUAGAAGCAGCCAUCAUUUAAAGAAAGCGUAAUAGCUCACUGGUCGAGUCGGCCUGCGCGGAAGAUGUAACGGGGCUAAACCAUGCACCGAAGCUGCGGCAGCGACACUAUGUGUUGUUGGGUAGGGGAGCGUUCUGUAAGCCUGUGAAGGUGGCCUGUGAGGGUUGCUGGAGGUAUCAGAAGUGCGAAUGCUGACAUAAGUAACGAUAAAGCGGGUGAAAAGCCCGCUCGCCGGAAGACCAAGGGUUCCUGUCCAACGUUAAUCGGGGCAGGGUGAGUCGACCCCUAAGGCGAGGCCGAAAGGCGUAGUCGAUGGGAAACAGGUUAAUAUUCCUGUACUUGGUGUUACUGCGAAGGGGGGACGGAGAAGGCUAUGUUGGCCGGGCGACGGUUGUCCCGGUUUAAGCGUGUAGGCUGGUUUUCCAGGCAAAUCCGGAAAACCAAGGCUGAGGCGUGAUGACGAGGCACUACGGUGCUGAAGCGACAAAUGCCCUGCUUCCAGGAAAAGCC
RNAcentral lists this ribosomal RNA (1197 nucleotides) under Escherichia coli. RNAcentral describes it as "partial 23S ribosomal RNA". It matches the Rfam family "Bacterial large subunit ribosomal RNA", at positions 417 to 1619 of the family's 2925-position model. Lineage: Bacteria; Pseudomonadati; Pseudomonadota; Gammaproteobacteria; Enterobacterales; Enterobacteriaceae. The record is from RNAcentral.